RNAcentral lists this unclassified non-coding RNA (329 nucleotides) under plant metagenome. RNAcentral's name for it is "partial contains 5.8S ribosomal RNA, internal transcribed spacer 2, and large subunit ribosomal RNA". The stretch from base 1 to 105 matches the Rfam family "5.8S ribosomal RNA", at positions 50 to 154 of the family's 154-position model. The record is from RNAcentral.
GAAAUGCGAUAAGUAAUGUGAAUUGCAGAAUUCCGUGAAUCAUCGAAUCUUUGAACGCACAUUGCGCCCUCUGGUAUUCCGGGGGGCAUGCCUGUCCGAGCGUCAUUGCGAACCCCUCAAGCACGGCUUGUGUGAUGGGCCCUCCCGCGUCUUGGUCGUCAAGACGGGCCCGAAAUGCAGUGGCGGCUUCGCGGUUAUCCGAUCAGCCAGAGCGUAUGGGGACUUUCUCUCUUUCACACGCCCGCGGCGCGGACCGACGCCUGUCGACCUUCAUUCAUCGUUUUCUCGGUUGACCUCGGAUCAGGUAGGGAUACCCGCUGAACUUAAGC